Molecule: transfer RNA, 77 nt
Filed under: Buchnera aphidicola
Lineage: Bacteria; Pseudomonadati; Pseudomonadota; Gammaproteobacteria; Enterobacterales; Erwiniaceae
Also listed under: 17 other names
Description: tRNA-Asp
Rfam family: tRNA
About the family: Transfer RNA (tRNA) molecules are approximately 80 nucleotides in length. Their secondary structure includes four short double-helical elements and three loops (D, anti-codon, and T loops). Further hydrogen bonds mediate the characteristic L-shaped molecular structure. tRNAs have two regions of fundamental functional importance: the anti-codon, which is responsible for specific mRNA codon recognition, and the 3' end, to which the tRNAs corresponding amino acid is attached (by aminoacyl-tRNA synthetases). tRNAs cope with the degeneracy of the genetic code in two manners: having more than one tRNA (with a specific anti-codon) for a particular amino acid; and 'wobble' base-pairing, i.e. permitting non-standard base-pairing at the 3rd anti-codon position.
Source: RNAcentral
GGAGCGGUAGUUCAGUUGGUUAGAAUACCGGCCUGUCACGCCGGGGGUCGCGGGUUCGAGUCCCGUCCACUCCGCCA